CAUUAAGUGGCUGAAUGAAAGCAAUGGUCUCUUAAACCAAUUUAUAGUAAAUAUCAAAUACUCUUAAUGA
This 70-nucleotide transfer RNA is filed under the name Helopeltis sp. RNAcentral's name for it is "tRNA-Lys". It matches the Rfam family "tRNA". From Rfam's summary of the family: Transfer RNA (tRNA) molecules are approximately 80 nucleotides in length. Their secondary structure includes four short double-helical elements and three loops (D, anti-codon, and T loops). Lineage: Eukaryota; Metazoa; Arthropoda; Insecta; Hemiptera; Miridae. The record is from RNAcentral.